AGUGAACGCUGGCGGUAGGCCUAACACAUGCAAGUCGAACGGCAGCACAGUAAGAGCUUGCUCUUACGGGUGGCGAGUGGCGGACGGGUGAGGAAUACAUCGGAAUCUACUUUUUCGUGGGGGAUAACGUAGGGAAACUUACGCUAAUACCGCAUACGACCUACGGGUGAAGGCAGGGGAUCUUCGGACCUUGCGCGAUUGAAUGGGCCGAUGUCGGAUUAGCUAGUUGGCGGGGUAAAGGCCCACCAAGGCGACGAUCCGUAGCUGGUCUGAGAGGAUGGUCAGCCACACUGGAACUGAGACACGGGCCAGACUCCUACGGGAGGCAGCAGUGGGGAAUAUUGGACAAUGUGCGCAAGCCUGAUCCAGCCAUACCGCGUGGGUGAAGAAGGCCUUCGGGUUGUAAAGCCCUUUUGUUGGGAAAGAAAAGCAGCAGGUUAAUACCCCGCUGUUCUGACGGUACCCAAAGAAUAGCACCGGCUAACUUCGUG
RNAcentral lists this ribosomal RNA (491 nucleotides) under uncultured bacterium. Its description in RNAcentral is "partial 16S ribosomal RNA". It matches the Rfam family "Bacterial small subunit ribosomal RNA", at positions 29 to 507 of the family's 1533-position model. The record is from RNAcentral.